GCUGGGGUGGCGGAAUUGGUAGACGCGCACGUUUCAGGUGCGUGUGAGGUAACACUCGUGCGGGUUCGACUCCCGCCCUCAGCA
RNAcentral lists this transfer RNA (84 nucleotides) under Tunicatimonas pelagia. Its description in RNAcentral is "tRNA-Leu". It matches the Rfam family "tRNA". Rfam says of the family: Transfer RNA (tRNA) molecules are approximately 80 nucleotides in length. Their secondary structure includes four short double-helical elements and three loops (D, anti-codon, and T loops). Further hydrogen bonds mediate the characteristic L-shaped molecular structure. tRNAs have two regions of fundamental functional importance: the anti-codon, which is responsible for specific mRNA codon recognition, and the 3' end, to which the tRNAs corresponding amino acid is attached (by aminoacyl-tRNA synthetases). tRNAs cope with the degeneracy of the genetic code in two manners: having more than one tRNA (with a specific anti-codon) for a particular amino acid; and 'wobble' base-pairing, i.e. permitting non-standard base-pairing at the 3rd anti-codon position. RNAcentral also lists the same sequence under 2 other names. The record is from RNAcentral. Lineage: Bacteria; Pseudomonadati; Bacteroidota; Cytophagia; Cytophagales; Catalimonadaceae.